GUAGGGUGCGAGCGUUAAUCGGAAUUACUGGGCGUAAAGCGUGCGCAGGCGGUUUUGUAAGACAGGCGUGAAAUCCCCGGGCUCAACCUGGGAAUUGCGCUUGUGACUGCAAGGCUAGAGUGCGUCAGAGGGGGGUAGAAUUCCACGUGUAGCAGUGAAAUGCGUAGAGAUGUGGAGGAAUACCGAUGGCGAAGGCAGCCCCCUGGGACGUGACUGACGCUCAUGCACGAAAGCGUGGGGAGCAAACAGGAUUAGAUACCCUGGUAGUCCACGCCCUAAACGAUGUCAACUAGUUGUUGGGGAUUCAUUUCCUCAGUAACGUAGCUAACGCGUGAAGUUGACCGCCUGGGGAGUACGGUCGCAAGAUUAAA
Molecule: ribosomal RNA, 371 nt
Filed under: uncultured bacterium
Lineage: Bacteria
Description: bacterial SSU rRNA
Rfam family: Bacterial small subunit ribosomal RNA
Source: RNAcentral